GACGAAGGUGGCGAGCGUUGUUCGGAAUCACUGGGCAUAAAGCGCGCGCAGGCGGCAUGGUAAGUAAGGUGUGAAAUCCAUCUGCUCAACGGGUGGGGUGCAUUUUAGACUGCCAAGCUUGAGGUCGGUAGAGGGGGGUGGAAUUGCUGGUGUAGCGGUGAAAUGCGUAGAGAUCAGCAGGAACACCCGUGGCGAAGGCGGCCCCCUGGGCCGUACCUGACGCUGAGGCGCGAAGGCUAGGGGAGCGAACGGG
RNAcentral lists this ribosomal RNA (253 nucleotides) under uncultured prokaryote. RNAcentral's name for it is "partial 16S ribosomal RNA". It matches the Rfam family "Bacterial small subunit ribosomal RNA", at positions 524 to 776 of the family's 1533-position model. The record is from RNAcentral.